GUUAUUCGGAAUUACUGGGCGUAAAGCGCGUGUAGGCGGUUUGUUAAGUCUGAUGUGAAAGCCCCGGGCUCAACCUGGGAAGUGCAUUGGAUACUGGCAGACUUGAAUACGGGAGAGGAGAGUGGAAUUCCUAGUGUAGGAGUGAAAUCCGUAGAUAUUAGGAGGAACACCGGUGGCGAAGGCGGCUCUCUGGACCGAUACUGACGCUGAGACGCGAAAGCGUGGGUAGC
RNAcentral lists this ribosomal RNA (230 nucleotides) under uncultured bacterium. RNAcentral describes it as "partial 16S ribosomal RNA". It matches the Rfam family "Bacterial small subunit ribosomal RNA", at positions 540 to 769 of the family's 1533-position model. The record is from RNAcentral.